Pipistrellus kuhlii (Kuhl's pipistrelle) is the source of this 309-nucleotide long non-coding RNA. RefSeq lists it as uncharacterized. The record is from RefSeq and is a predicted model, not a curated record. The transcript is spliced from 3 exons. Lineage: Eukaryota; Metazoa; Chordata; Mammalia; Chiroptera; Vespertilionidae.
UGAAGAUGAUUCAAAAAGAAGUAUAAAAUUAAUCAUUGCCAGGUUGGAUUCAAAUUCACAGUGGGCAGUGUGGGUCUGUAGAUGACCUGGUCGCCAUGAUUUAAUGGUUUUUGUCCAGCAGUGCUUGUCAGCUGUGUUUUGGAAUUAGAACCACAGAUGUGGGAGCCGCUAUCUAGAGCUGGAUGUUGAUCUGACAGACACCUGGGAAGUUGAGGCUGGUGAGGUAGGGAAGGUUAGGGAAGACCAGGGGAUCAGAACAAACGGAUUGGAGAAGUUAGAAGUAGUGGAGACCCUGAAGCACGAAUGAAG